This 404-nucleotide ribosomal RNA is filed under the name uncultured Oscillospiraceae bacterium. RNAcentral describes it as "bacterial SSU rRNA". It matches the Rfam family "Bacterial small subunit ribosomal RNA", at positions 356 to 774 of the family's 1533-position model. The record is from RNAcentral. Lineage: Bacteria; Bacillati; Bacillota; Clostridia; Eubacteriales; Oscillospiraceae.
GGGGGAUAUUGCACAAUGGAGGAAACUCUGAUGCAGCGACGCCGCGUGGGGGAAGAAGGUCUUCGGAUUGUAAACCUCAGUAGUCAGGGAAGAAGCAAGUGACGGUACCUGAAGAGUAAGCUCCGGCUAACUACGUGCCAGCAGCCGCGGUAAUACGUAGGGAGCGAGCGUUGUCCGGAAUUACUGGGUGUAAAGGGUGCGUAGGCGGGUCAGCAAGUCAGGCGUGAAAUACCGGGGCUCAACUCCGGGGCUGCGCUUGAAACUGUUGGUCUUGAGUGAAGUAGAGGCAGGCGGAAUUCCUAGUGUAGCGGUGAAAUGCGUAGAUAUUAGGAGGAACACCAGUGGCGAAGGCGGCCUGCUGGGCUUUAACUGACGCUGAUGCACGAAAGCAUGGGGAGCAAACA